This is a non-coding RNA of Acanthosepion pharaonis, 105 nucleotides long. Lineage: Eukaryota; Metazoa; Mollusca; Cephalopoda; Sepiida; Sepiidae. The record is from the annotation of a GenBank genome assembly.
UAUAGAUUUGAAACACCGGUUCUCGUACGAUCGCCUAAGUUAUGAAACGUCGAGGCUGGUCAGUACCUCGAUAGGUGCCCGCUUGGCAAUACCAGGUGCUGUAAG